This 54-nucleotide transfer RNA is filed under the name Caenorhabditis plicata. Its description in RNAcentral is "tRNA-Val". Lineage: Eukaryota; Metazoa; Nematoda; Chromadorea; Rhabditida; Rhabditidae. The record is from RNAcentral.
GAAUUUUUAGUUUAAUUAGAAUAACUCACUUACAAUGAGUAGGUUUAAAAUUCU